Molecule: unclassified non-coding RNA, 655 nt
Filed under: Crypthecodinium sp. ShSu-2013
Lineage: Eukaryota; Dinophyceae; Gonyaulacales; Crypthecodiniaceae
Description: partial contains ITS1, 5.8S rRNA, ITS2, 28S rRNA
Rfam family: 5.8S ribosomal RNA (bases 320-473)
Source: RNAcentral
GCGGAGGAUCAUUUACACUAAUUGUGAUUUAUCACAAAUCCAUUCAUCAAUGCAAUCAUUGUGAAGUUGUCUUCGGAUAACUUCGAACUUCUUAUUCUCUCUUUGCUUCAUGUUCGGCAUCUUCUACUUCGGUGUUGAUGGUGUUCAUGUUGACUUUCUUGGGUUGGGCAUCUCCUUCUUUGGGGUUGAGGUGUUCAGCCCAUUUUUUUUACCCUGGGGUGAAGUGCUUUCGGGCACAUCACUCAGCUUCCACUUUGAGUGGAUUCUGUGCGACACUGUGUGAAUGUUGUCUUUUGUGGAGUUCAUGUACUCAAAAUACAACUUUCAGCACUUGAUUCCUUGGUUCAGACCUCGAUGAAGGGCACUGCGAAAUGUGAAUGGCACUGUGAAUUGCACGCAUCUGGGAAAUGAGAGCUUCUUGAAUGCACACUGCUCCACAGGACACGUCACAUGGAUAAUCUUCCUCAGGGGGUAUGUGCCCCCUUGAGGCGUCACAGCUUUUUGUCAGCUUCAAUUUCCUUCGGGGAUUGUGGGUGAUGGUGAUGAACUCUUGCACAUCAAGCUUGUCUUAAUGUGUUGAAUUAUGAUCUUCGACUGCAAUGGUGAAUGGAGGGGUAGCGCCCAAUAUUUUCGUUGUGUGUUCGUCGAUCCAAGU